Molecule: ribosomal RNA, 427 nt
Filed under: uncultured Nostoc sp.
Lineage: Bacteria; Bacillati; Cyanobacteriota; Cyanophyceae; Nostocales; Nostocaceae
Description: bacterial SSU rRNA
Rfam family: Bacterial small subunit ribosomal RNA
Source: RNAcentral
UGGGGAUUUUUCCGCAAUGGGCGAAAGCCUGACGGAGCAAUACCGCGUGAGGGAGGAAGGCUCUUGGGUUGUAAACCUCUUUUCUCAGGGAAGAAAAAAAUGACGGUACCUGAGGAAUAAGCAUCGGCUAACUCCGUGCCAGCAGCCGCGGUAAUACGGAGGAUGCAAGCGUUAUCCGGAAUGAUUGGGCGUAAAGCGUCCGCAGGUGGCUGUGUAAGUCUGCUGUUAAAGAGUCUGGCUCAACCAGAUAAAGGCAGUGGAAACUACACGGCUAGAGUGCGUUCGGGGCAGAGGGAAUUCCUGGUGUAGCGGUGAAAUGCGUAGAGAUCAGGAAGAACACCGGUGGCGAAAGCGCUCUGCUAGGCCGCAACUGACACUGAGGGACGAAAGCUAGGGGAGCGAAUGGGAUUAGAUACCCCAGUAGUCG